AACUGUCAAGAUAACUUAUAGCCUGAUCACGCCUGAUCUCCUUUGAGCUCAGACGCUAAGCAGGGUCAGACCUAGAUAGUAUUGGGUAGAUGAGAGACCAAUGGGGUAUAACAGGUG
This 117-nucleotide ribosomal RNA is filed under the name Amphilophus citrinellus (Midas cichlid). The record is from RNAcentral. Lineage: Eukaryota; Metazoa; Chordata; Actinopteri; Cichliformes; Cichlidae.